UACGGGGGGGGCAAGCGUUGUUCGGAAUUACUGGGCGUAAAGGGCUUGUAGGUGGCCAACUAAGUCCGACGUGAAAUCCCUAGGCUUAACCUAGGAACUGCGUCGGAUACUGGAUGGCUUGAAUCCGGGAGAGGGAUGCGGAAUUCCAGGUGUAGCGGUGAAAUGCGUAGAUAUCUGGAGGAACACCAAUGGCGAAGGCAGCUUACUGGACAGUUAUUGACGCUGAGAUGCGAAAGCGUGGGGAGCAAACAGG
RNAcentral lists this ribosomal RNA (253 nucleotides) under uncultured bacterium. Its description in RNAcentral is "partial 16S ribosomal RNA". It matches the Rfam family "Bacterial small subunit ribosomal RNA", at positions 524 to 776 of the family's 1533-position model. The record is from RNAcentral.